CCUCCCUCAGUUUCUUUUAGCAGUAGUCCUAAACCAAUGGACUUAAUUAUGUUAAAAAUUUUCAAUUUUUUAAAAAAAAUUUUAUUUUUAUUCUAAAUUUUAAUUUAUUAUAAUUAAAUUAUUAAUUUUUUAAAAUAUUAUAAUUGAUGGGUGUCACGCCCACGAUCCGAGAUCAUGAGUCAAGCAUCACGGCGACUACCACAUACUUAUGAAGAAUUCUCUCC
Molecule: long non-coding RNA, 224 nt
Filed under: Elaeis guineensis (African oil palm)
Lineage: Eukaryota; Viridiplantae; Streptophyta; Magnoliopsida; Arecales; Arecaceae
Description: long non-coding RNA (EGUI_LNC023580)
Source: RNAcentral